UUGAAGCAUAUUGCUUAAACUAUAGAACAACACUUUUAUUUAUGCAUGUGUAAAAACAUAUUUAAAAUUCAACCUUAAUAUGCACAAUCAGUGAGGAGACUCAAUAAUGAUAUAAACAAAACCAAAAGGUAAAAAAUAAUCAAUAAAAAUAUAAACCCAUGAGGUGAUAAGUGAAAAAUUUAUAUAAAAUACUUAGGCCCUUAUUAACUUAUUGUACAAGAAAUCAAUAUAAC
Molecule: long non-coding RNA, 233 nt
Filed under: Lathyrus oleraceus (garden pea)
Lineage: Eukaryota; Viridiplantae; Streptophyta; Magnoliopsida; Fabales; Fabaceae
Description: Pisum sativum (pea) long non-coding RNA (PSAT_LNC009506)
Source: RNAcentral